This 495-nucleotide ribosomal RNA is filed under the name uncultured bacterium. RNAcentral's name for it is "partial 16S ribosomal RNA". It matches the Rfam family "Bacterial small subunit ribosomal RNA", at positions 28 to 507 of the family's 1533-position model. The record is from RNAcentral.
GACGAACGCUGGCGGCGUGCCUAAUACAUGCAAGUCGAACGCUGACGGCGGAGCUUGCUUCUCUGGAUGAGUUGCGAACGGGUGAGUAACGCGUAGGUAACCUGCCUGGUAGCGGGGGAUAACUAUUGGAAACGAUAGCUAAUACCGCAUAAGAGUUGAUGUUGCAUGAUAUUUGCUCAAAAGGUUCAAUUGCUUCACUACCAGAUGGCUCUGCGUUGUAUUAGCUAGUUGGUGGGGUAGCGGCUUAUCAAGGCGACGAUACAUAGCCGACUUGCCAGGGUGAGCGGCCACGCUGGGACGGGGACACGACCCAGACUCCUGCGAGAGACAGACGGAGGGGAUCUUCGGCAAUGGAAGGAGGGCUGAACGAGCAACGCCGCGUGAGUGAAGAAGGGUGUCGGAUCGUGAAGCUCAGUUGUGAGUGAGGAACGAGAGUGAGAGUGAAAAGUGCAGACUGUGACGGUAUCUGAACAAAAAGCGACGGCUAACUACGUG